Long non-coding RNA from Bos taurus (domestic cattle), 656 nucleotides. Lineage: Eukaryota; Metazoa; Chordata; Mammalia; Artiodactyla; Bovidae. The record is from Ensembl.
GCCAGAGACACUAGCAGAGGUAACACAGCAAUCUGUUUGUUGUUUAGACAGAGCAGAGAGGGUAAGGACGCCGAGGAUAGUUCAUUUAACCUGCCAGUGUCCUCGGGGGAGACAGAUGUUUUUGGGAACAAGAGCCAGAGAAGCAAGAACCUCGGCACAAGGCCAGACUGUCCUGUCCACAUCAGUAGUUAAGAGACUCGACCCCUAGCACUCAGGUUCCUGAGGCUGACAGAUGAGGGGCUGCCAUCAGCAACACAGAGCCUCAGGACCGCUGGACCCCAGCCUGGUCUCCGUGAAGCACCAAAGUCAGCCAUCCUGUGAUUCAUCCAAAUGGAAGCCCAGACAGUCGGGGAGUCUGUGACUCACAGUAUCCUUGUGAGAAGUGGGCCUGGACACGGUACUACCCGGCGGAUUCAGCCUAGGCUCAAGCUUUUCCGCAAAGCCCUUCUACACGUCUGACACCCCUGCUAAAGGAAUUGAAAGAAACUGGAAAAUUCUUGCCAGUGCCUUAGAAAUCACACUCCAAUGGCCAAGAAGCCCAGUGUCCACCAGCUCUGGGCACCCCAGUCCUGCAGGUGGAUUCUUUACCAUCUGAGAAUUUCUACAUGAUCCAACAAUUCUGCUUGUGGAUAGAUACCCAAAAGCAAUGAAAACAA